GGGGACAGGGGACGCUGAGCAUUGAGGGGGCAGCAGGGAGCGCCCUCUCUGAGCCACUCCCCUUCUCUCCCAGGCCAGAGCCACCAAGCCGCCGGAGGGCACCCAGGCCGUGGGGCCAGAGGAGCGGGAGGCGCCCCCUAGGGGCCGGAGGAGCGUGCCACGGCCCACCCUGAAGCUGGAGGAGGAGGAGGAGGAGGAGGAGGAGGAAGACGAGGAGGAAGAGGAGGACGACGAGGAGGAGGAGGACGAGGAGGAGGAGGAAGCAAAGGCUCUGGAGAGGAAGGAGGCUUCUCGGGGGAUGGGGGAAGCCUGGGCCCCAGGCCCUCAGGCGAGCAGCUCACCCCAGGAAAUCAGGGGGUCCUGGCAGGAGAAGGGGGGGCUUAUGGUCCCAGCACCCCAACAGACAGGAGUGCCCAGAUCCCCAGCACCCCAGGAAGUGGGAGGGAGCCGAUCUCCGACACCCCAGGAAGUGGGGUGGCCUGAGGCCCAGGGAAUGGGGGGCCCCAGAUCACCAGGGCCCCAAGAAAGGGGGUCAGCCCAGGCCCUGGAGCCCCAGGAGACAGAGGGGCCCAUAGCUCCUGAGCCCGAGGAAAGGGGGGUGACCAGGCCCUCGGAAUCCCAGGGAAGUGGGACAGCUGUGACUCCAGCCCCUGAGGAGAAGGGGGAGCCCAGCCUGCUAGACCCCCAGGAAAAGGGGGAGCCCAGUCUAAUGGCUCCCCAGAAGAAGGAGGAGCCCAGCCUGCCAGCUUCCCAUGAGAAGGGGGAGCCCAGCCUGCCAGACCCCCAGGAAAAGGGGAAGUCCAGCCCAACAGCCCCCCACCAGAAGGGGGAGCCCAGCCUACUGGCCCCCCACGAGACGGAGGAGCCCAGCCCACCAGCCCCCCAGGCAAAGGGGGAGGCCAGCCCACCGGCCCACCAGGAGAAGGAGCAGCCCAGCCCAACGGCUCCCCUGCUGGAGGAUUUCUCAGAGAAGAAGGGAGUGGCUGGACUCCAGGAAAACAAGGGGGUCCCCCAGGAGGAGGCAGAGGAGCCCCCUGAGAUCUCACAAGAAGAGGGGGUGGCUGCAACCGCCAGCUCCCCAGCCCCUCCCCAGCUGACAGAAGGGGAGGCACCAAUGGCCCCCCCUGAGGAGGAUGAGCCCCCUCCCCCACUGCUGACCAAGGAGGCCCCCCCCAGUCAGAAAAGGCCAUCGGGGACCCAGCCAGCAUCACCUUCCCCUCCCCCCCAGCGCCAGCAGAGGGGUGGGUCCAACUCAGACUCCGACUCAGACUCCACUUCCUCCGGAUCCCGCUCCAGCCGUUCCGAGUCGCCCGCCAGGAAGCACCGGGCCUCACGCUCCAGCAGCAGCAGAAAGUCGCACAGCCCUGACGCCUCACGGGCUGGCCCCAGCUCCCCACACACCAAAGAGCCCUCCCCAGCAAGACAGCAGGAGGCGCUGGAGAGUCCCAUGGCAGAGGGCAGACCGGCCACCUCGCCCCCGCCGGCCCCCCAGAGACGCCCCAGCCACGGGCACCGGCACAGCCCGUUGUCGCAGCAGGGCGGCUCAGAGACCCCAGGGGGCCCAGCCAGGGCAGUGCCCACGGGGGACCCGCCGCGCCAGGCAGAGCAGAGGCAGCGUGCAAGUAGCCAGGAGGAGAAGGAGGAGGUGCCUAUGGAGUUGGAGCCCCGCCAGGCUGGCACUAGCCCCCCGACCGGCCCCACUGCUCAGCCCCCCGGCCCCAACGAGCUCCCCGACGGGGGGCCUGAGGACGAGGAGAAGAAAGAGAGCAUCCGGCCCAGCGGGCACACACGCCAGAGAGAUGCGGAGAGAGAGACAGAGAGCGGGCGGGGGGAGGGGAGCAUGAACCCCGGCGUCCGGGCGAUUCAAGCUCCCAGCUGUGUGGAGCCCCUGGAGACCCUGCUUCUGCGCAGCUCCGCUGGGAUGUCAUCUGCAUGUGGGGCCGGGGCAUCUGCUGCUCAUGGACCUUGGCCCCUGGGGUCUCCAGGCUGA
RNAcentral lists this long non-coding RNA (1990 nucleotides) under Gopherus evgoodei (Goodes thornscrub tortoise). RNAcentral describes it as "lncRNA (ENSGEVG00005018997.1)". The record is from RNAcentral. Lineage: Eukaryota; Metazoa; Chordata; Testudines; Testudinidae.